RNAcentral lists this ribosomal RNA (497 nucleotides) under uncultured bacterium. Its description in RNAcentral is "partial 16S ribosomal RNA". It matches the Rfam family "Bacterial small subunit ribosomal RNA", at positions 28 to 507 of the family's 1533-position model. The record is from RNAcentral.
GAUGAACGCUGGCGGCGUGCCUAAUACAUGCAAGUCGAGCGAACGGGCGAGAAGCUUGCUUCUCUGAUGUUAGCGGCGGACGGGUGAGUAACACGUGGAUAACCUACCUAUAAGACUGGGAUAACUUCGGGAAACCGGAACUAAUACCGGAUGAUAUUUUGAACCGCAUGGUUCAAAAGUGAAAGACGGUCUUGCUGUCACUUAUAGAUGGAUCCGCGCUGCAUUAGCUAGUUGGUAAGGUAACGGCUUACCAAGGCAACGAUGCAUAGCCGACCUGAGAGGGUGAUCGGCCACACUGGAACUGAGACACGGUCCAGACUCCUACGGGAGGCAGCAGUAGGGAAUCUUCCGCAAAGGGCGAAAGCCUGACGGAGCAACGCCGCGUGAGUGAUGAAGGUCUUCGGAUCGUAAAACUCUGUUAUUAGGGAAGAACAUAUGUGUAAGUAACUGUGCACAUCUUGACGGUACCUAAUCAGAAAGCCACGGCUAACUACGUG